This 1216-nucleotide ribosomal RNA is filed under the name Enterococcus faecium. RNAcentral describes it as "bacterial SSU rRNA". It matches the Rfam family "Bacterial small subunit ribosomal RNA", at positions 54 to 1268 of the family's 1533-position model. The record is from RNAcentral. Lineage: Bacteria; Bacillati; Bacillota; Bacilli; Lactobacillales; Enterococcaceae.
CAUGCAGUCGAACGCUUCUUUUUCCACCGGAGCUUGCUCCACCGGAAAAAGAGGAGUGGCGAACGGGUGAGUAACACGUGGGUAACCUGCCCAUCAGAAGGGGAUAACACUUGGAAACAGGUGCUAAUACCGUAUAACAAUCGAAACCGCAUGGUUUUGAUUUGAAAGGCGCUUUCGGGUGUCGCUGAUGGAUGGACCCGCGGUGCAUUAGCUAGUUGGUGAGGUAACGGCUCACCAAGGCGACGAUGCAUAGCCGACCUGAGAGGGUGAUCGGCCACAUUGGGACUGAGACACGGCCCAAACUCCUACGGGAGGCAGCAGUAGGGAAUCUUCGGCAAUGGACGAAAGUCUGACCGAGCAACGCCGCGUGAGUGAAGAAGGUUUUCGGAUCGUAAAACUCUGUUGUUAGAGAAGAACAAGGAUGAGAGUAACUGUUCAUCCCUUGACGGUAUCUAACCAGAAAGCCACGGCUAACUACGUGCCAGCAGCCGCGGUAAUACGUAGGUGGCAAGCGUUGUCCGGAUUUAUUGGGCGUAAAGCGAGCGCAGGCGGUUUCUUAAGUCUGAUGUGAAAGCCCCCGGCUCAACCGGGGAGGGUCAUUGGAAACUGGGAGACUUGAGUGCAGAAGAGGAGAGUGGAAUUCCAUGUGUAGCGGUGAAAUGCGUAGAUAUAUGGAGGAACACCAGUGGCGAAGGCGGCUCUCUGGUCUGUAACUGACGCUGAGGCUCGAAAGCGUGGGGAGCAAACAGGAUUAGAUACCCUGGUAGUCCACGCCGUAAACGAUGAGUGCUAAGUGUUGGAGGGUUUCCGCCCUUCAGUGCUGCAGCUAACGCAUUAAGCACUCCGCCUGGGGAGUACGACCGCAAGGUUGAGACUCAAAGGAAUUGACGGGGGCCCGCACAAGCGGUGGAGCAUGUGGUUUAAUUCGAACCAACGCGAAGAACCUUACCAGGUCUUGACAUCCUUUGACCACUCUAGAGAUAGAGCUUCCCCUUCGGCGCAAGUGACAGGUGGUGCAUGGUUGUCGUCAGCUCGUGUCUUGAGAUGUGGGUUAGUUCCGCAACGAGCGCACCCUUAUGGUAAUUGCAUCGUUAGUUGGAAAUCUACCGGACGCCGCGACAAACGGAGGAAGGGGGGGGCGGCGAGGGGAAGCCCCUCCACGGGGGGCCACAUGCGGGGGCGGAGUGUAGAUAUCGCAAUAGCAGGGGGGCGGCGU